Long non-coding RNA from Heteronotia binoei (common prickly gecko), 659 nucleotides. RefSeq lists it as uncharacterized. NCBI's taxonomy places the organism in Eukaryota, Metazoa, Chordata, Lepidosauria, Squamata, Gekkonidae. The transcript is spliced from 3 exons. The record is from RefSeq and is a predicted model, not a curated record.
ACAACCCUUAAAGGCACCGUAGUCCUAUUCACCUUUGCAUCUUAUCAUCCUACCUGGGUGUGUAUUUUAUCUCACCUAGCUGUAAAGACUUAGGUUGGUCUACACAGAAUGUGUUUCUCCCUUCUAAAGGACUUGAAAUGUACCUGGCUAUAAAGCUGAACUGAUCUGAGGAACCCUCAGCUUAUACUUCCAGUUCCUGGAAAAUCAUUUGUCUGCCUGCAUGCAAGUCAGAUUCAUGAGAUUUCACAGCUGCACAAGCCCAUUGAUGUUUCAGUGGCAAGGAAAUCACUACAUUAUUUCAGAACUCAGCUGUUUGAAACAUGCUGAAUGCAAAUCCAUUGGAAUGAAAAAGAAUGGAAAGAUUAAACUUUUCAAGUUAAUUGCCUGCCAGACAUUUUUUCCUUGAUGUUGUCUUUUGAAAUCUCUCUAGGCCUCUCUGGAAAUCAAAGACUAUGAAGCAAAUGGUAGAUAUGAUCAGACUUCUUUUUUAAAAAGGCAUCUCUGUGGAAAGUGGGGUGGAGUUAGUACUAAAUGGACCAGCUGGUAUUGUUAAGGCUUUGGCCACAGAGAUCUAUCAUUCAAAUUGCAUUGAAGGGAUGGGAAUUUGAAGCACUUCUAUUCAAAAGGAAUAAUGCAAGAUAAUGCAGUCCAUGUGUUAA